CAUAUCAUACCCUAAAUUCUAUAAGGGUCUAUCUUGAUGGGAUAGCCAUGCUCGCUUAGAGUUGAUAUGA
Molecule: transfer RNA, 70 nt
Filed under: Damalinia meyeri sika
Lineage: Eukaryota; Metazoa; Arthropoda; Insecta; Psocodea; Bovicoliidae
Description: tRNA-Ile
Source: RNAcentral